CUCCGGGUAAAGUGGCCGCGUCGUCAUCACACCCGUACGGGGGGAAGCCGGUGCAAUUCCGGCGCUGACCCGCAACCGUGAGCCGCCCCCACGAGGCCGUCGAGGCCGCCUUCCUGGGACGGUGAGCCGGACUGCCCCGCGCGGACGUGACCGGCUCA
RNAcentral lists this non-coding RNA (158 nucleotides) under Streptomyces mutabilis. The record is from RNAcentral. Lineage: Bacteria; Bacillati; Actinomycetota; Actinomycetes; Kitasatosporales; Streptomycetaceae.